RNAcentral lists this ribosomal RNA (251 nucleotides) under uncultured prokaryote. Its description in RNAcentral is "partial 16S rRNA". It matches the Rfam family "Bacterial small subunit ribosomal RNA", at positions 525 to 775 of the family's 1533-position model. The record is from RNAcentral.
ACGGGGGGUCCAAGCGUUAUUCGGAAUCAUUGGGUGUAAAGCGCAUGUAGGCGGUUGGGUGUGUCAGAUGUGAAAGCCCGGGGCUUAACCCCGGAAGUGCAUUUGAAACUGCCUGGCUUGAGUCUCGGAGAGGAAAGUGGAAUUCCCAGUGUAGAGGUGGAAUUCGUAGAUAUUGGGAGGAACACCGGUGGCGAAAGCGACUUUCUGGACGAUGACUGACGCUCAGAUGCGAAAGCGUGGGUAGCAAACAG